UUCGAAUGUAUUGUCUUUUGUAUCUAAUGUCACAAACCUCUCCCCUCCAACGCUCAUCAGCACAGCUCCCUUCUUGGUAAAAGACAGCGGCAUGUACCGAAACGAAUCGAGGAACGGGUCUUUGGUCGGAAUCCUCGGAAACUUCGCAGUGGUGAUGAUCUUACUCCAGUUCUUGUCAUCUUUUGUUCCCCAAACAUGAACAUCACUCAACCUCCGAGUGUGCACGACACAAAGGUGGUCUUUCAAAGAUCCAAUCCACGCUAUACUCCGACCACUCUCAUCUGGCGGUGGCGGCACCACCUUAAACUUCUCGUCGGCCAAAUCGAAUCGCAGGAUCAGACACCUCCCCGAAUCGUGGUCCUCUGCCAUCCAAUACAAUCCGCC
RNAcentral lists this long non-coding RNA (384 nucleotides) under Malus domestica (apple). RNAcentral describes it as "long non-coding RNA (MDOM_LNC001114)". Lineage: Eukaryota; Viridiplantae; Streptophyta; Magnoliopsida; Rosales; Rosaceae. The record is from RNAcentral.